RNAcentral lists this ribosomal RNA (488 nucleotides) under Ischnocnema ramagii (Paraiba robber frog). Its description in RNAcentral is "partial 12S ribosomal RNA". Lineage: Eukaryota; Metazoa; Chordata; Amphibia; Anura; Brachycephalidae. The record is from RNAcentral.
GAUCUUAAUAAAUCCUUUAAACACAUAGGUUUGGUCCCGACCUUACAAUCAAUUAUUUCUUAACUUACACAUGCAAGUCUCCGCACACCCGUGAGGACACCCUUUAUCCCCCUUAGGAGUAAGGAGUAGAUAUCAGGCACAUACGCCCAAAACAUCUAGCUUUGCCACACCCACAAGGGUACUCAGCAGUGAUUAAUAUUAAAAAUAAACGCCAGUUUGAUUUAGUCAAAGAAAUUCAGAGCCGGCUAAUCUGGUGCCAGCCGCCGCGGUUACACCAGAGACUCAAUUUGAUUAUAAUACGGCGUAAAGCGUGAUUAAAGAACACACACAUUAAGGUUAAACUUAAACUAAGCCGUCAAACGCUUGUUCAUAAGAAACCCACACCCGAAAGUUACCUUAACCAACACUUGAAUUCACAAUARCUAGAACUCAAACUGGGAUUAGAUACCCCACUAUCUCUAGUCGUAAACUUUAACUUACCCCCACCC